AGUUUUAACUAAAGAAAGCGAGAUUGAGAUUUUGAGCGCAAAAAUGCAAAACAAAAAAAUAAACAUAUAAAUAUAUGUAUAUAUAUACAAGGAGACCGAAAGUGCAAUAUAACGCCUCACAGUUCUCAACUUGGUGGCUACAGCCCCAGCUAUUUUGAUGCUUUUAACUACGAGGUGGUGUCCACUCACUAAUUAGGAGAAUGUCAGUAAGCAGGAGAAAUAUGUGUUGUUAAUACAGAAAUAAUUUAGAACUAAUAAAUAUUUUAAAUGGUGAAAGAGCAAAACAUUUAAAAUAUACAUACAUAAAGUCACACGAAAAGUUAAAAGUAUUUACAAAAGCAAUCCACAAACGUCUGAACGCCACACUUUAGCAUUUCCUUAACUUCUAUGCGCCACAGUUUAUUGAGUACACAAAUCGGCUGCGAAAUGUGUUGGAGAAACUUGUACCAAAAUAUGCGAAAGUGUGUAUGGAGGAGGCGGACAAUAAAGCCGUACGCUGGCACAAUUAGCUUUAACGCAAUGGUACAAGAUGAAGAUAUAUAGUAUAAUAUUAUAUAUAAAUGCAAAAAGCAGCCAAGUGUGGCGAUAACUCUAUUGGCAGCAGAUCGCAAUUUUUGUUUGAACAGCAAAUUAACGAAACUAUGUGAAACAGCUAAUCAAAGCGAAAAUUGAAAUUAAUAUCAAACAUUCCAGUAUUGAUGGCUGGUAUUUAAUACUUGGAAUAUCUGCGGCGACGGAUAUGUUUAUUGAGUGUGUACUGAGGCGGAACUAGAAAUGAUAUGAACAUAAAUCAAACUGUAUCCCUAUAAUAAAGAGCAGCAGCAGGAAAGAAGAGAGCGCAUAAAAUACAGAUUUUCACACAAAUACAUAUGUACAUACAUAGAUAUGCAGCUGCAAUGGUGCCGAGAGUGAUUAAAAGAAUGAAGGUUGCAGCGCAAAACUGCACGACAGAAAUAGGUUAGUGUUAUUAGUGGGUGUUGCGUUGGUGUAGUAUAAAUAAGGUUAGCAGCAGAGUUGCCAUUAGGCAAAGUGUUAGAAAGAUUGUUAUAGCAUUAUUUUCCAAACUACACCAAAAUAAUUUGUUAAAACAUUUUAUGAACUGUGAAUAUGACAAAUAAUAAUUAAAUACAAAAAAAACAUACAAAAUAAUUAUAAUUAAGGCAGGUGCUGUGGUGUAUGACUUCAUUUGAUAAAAUAAGGCGCGCUAAUUGCUUAUAUAUGCAAAUUGAUGUUAUCGAUUUUUGAACUGUUAAAGUAUACCGUAGUUAUACACUAAAUGCGUAAUUGCAUUCAUAUGAAAAUUUUGUGGCAACCCUACCGAGCACUGUUACAGCAAAGAGUGGGAGAGCAAACUAUGAGCGCAUAAAAUUUCAUAUCCGUAAUGACUUAUCAAAACUAGUGUGCAAAUAUGUAUGCAUGUAUAUUUGGGAGGCAUUCUAUCGCUAUUUUUUAUUUUUUAUUUUGCUACAUUUAACCACUGCGAUGACAAGUUGGAAUUGAGUACUCAGUCCUUAAUGUGCUCAACUACUAUACAUAUCCCAUGGCGACACAGCGCGAAAAAGCAGCUGAUGAAAAUUGUAACGAAAUGAAACCACGCCGACACCGCUUGAUACGACGAAUUCAAACCGAACCCACACAUUCAUUUGGCAAUAGCAAGCAGCGCUGCAUCAACUCCUACACACACACACACACACAUGUACCUACAUUCAUACACAUUCACAUACUCGCAAGUGUGUGCACUAUCAACACUUCCACUUCCAAGACCGCAAAGCCCAACCCGGCGCAGUGGGAAUUAACGCGAUAUAGUUUGAAACAAAUUAAAACAACGCUUGACUAAGUAAUCGCGCAAAGAAAGGGGUGUGAGAUGAGAACAAAUGCGUGCUAGACUGCUGCACCUAUUUCUAUGUUUUUGUUAAUUUUUCCACCUGAUUAUAACUGUGCUGCGGCACAUGCGGCUCACCGCUGUGUCAAAAAACAGCUGUGGCGACAAAGCUCUCUUAUAACAUGAAUGUGCGUGACAUGGACUCACUGAAUACAACUAAACUACCGUUGGCAACGAAGCGGAACCAAUAUUAACACCGACCGGGCGAACAGCCAGCCACCAGCCAAUUUGCGGAUAAGGACAAGCGUGAAUGCAUUUGGCGUUUGCGCGUAGGAAAUUGGUUUUUGUGAUUUUAUUUUAAUUACAACUAAAUGGCAAAGAAAAUAAACAAAAAUAAAAUAAAAGCAAGAAAUGCCGUCGCGUACAGAGAAGGAAAAAGAAAAAUAUACAUUAUGAGAAUUAUAAUUGAAAAUUGCAUUGGUCAGCGGAUGUACAUAACCGCAAGACCACAGCAAAGGGUGUGAGUCACCCACACAACUAACUUCCCUUGCGUAUAUGCACAUAUACUGGUGAUGGAUACAGAUACAAAUUGGAGGCAUAGUUGAAUAGAUCUAACUAAAUGAGAGUACAGCAACUAGAGAUGUCCGCUUGAUGGCUUCCAAUAUUCAUGUUAUACAUUUCAGUAUGUAAUAUAGUGAAUGUCACCAAAAACGCAACCAGCAUGGCGUAUAUUUAUUGUGUGAGCUGUUGUUAUUCUUAUUGUUGCAUUAUAAAAAAAAAAUUUAGGCAAUGCUUGGCUCAAGGUCGACCAGGGUGCACUGAUUGAAAUUCAUCACUGACCCUUCACAACACGCGCACAAAAAAUGCCCGCCAUGCACAACGCAACAACAACAAUAGCAGCAGACACAGAGAUCAGCAAAAGCAAGAUUUGUCACUCGCUUACACGUUGGCUGCUUUCCUGUGCGGUUCACACGGUGGAAUGACAAUGAGUUAACAACACCCUAGCUACCCUAACAAAACGAAAAAAAACACCAACACCAACUGACUUCAGGUUAAAUGCCGCGUUUACAAGUGUUCGUGUAUAUAUGUAUGUAUAUGUGUUGUAUUUGUGGAGGUCUUUAAUUGAAGUGGUUGGAUUGAAUUUGUUUUCGAGCGCAGUAACCAGCCAACACAUGUGUUGUUUAUGUGUUUAUGGCGAAAAAAUCUUUCAAGAACAAAAAAAAGAAAAACGAACAAAUUAUAGUCAUUGCGCAACGACUCCCUCGAGAAAAAGUGAAUGCACCAGUAUUGCUAUAUAAAGAUAUUAAAAUAAGACAAAUUAAAAAUUUAAGUAAGCUUUUUUGU
Molecule: non-coding RNA, 3166 nt
Organism: Bactrocera oleae (olive fruit fly)
Lineage: Eukaryota; Metazoa; Arthropoda; Insecta; Diptera; Tephritidae
Source: RefSeq, a predicted model, not a curated record